CGAAUGCUGACAUAAGUAACGAUAAAGCGGGUGAAAAGCCCGCUCGCCGGAAGACCAAGGGUUCCUGUCCAACGUUAAUCGGGGCAGGGUGAGUCGACCCCUAAGGCGAGGCCGAAAGGCGUAGUCGAUGGGAAACAGGUUAAUAUUCCUGUACUUGGUGUUACUGCGAAGGGGGGACGGAGAAGGCUAUGUUGGCCGGGCGACGGUUGUCCCGGUUUAAGCGUGUAGGCUGGUUUUCCAGGCAAAUCCGGAAAAUCAAGGCUGAGGCGUGAUGACGAGGCACUACGGUGCUGAAGCAACAAAUGCCCUGCUUCCAGGAAAAGCCUCUAAGCAUCAGGUAACAUCAAAUCGUACCCCAAACCGACACAGGUGGUCAGGUAGAGAAUACCAAGGCGCUUGAGAGAACUCGGGUGAAGGAACUAGGCAAAAUGGUGCCGUAACUUCGGGAGAAGGCACGCUGAUAUGUAGGUGAAGUCCCUCGCGGAUGGAGCUGAAAUCAGUCGAAGAUACCAGCUGGCUGCAACUGUUUAUUAAAAACACAGCACUGUGCAAACACGAAAGUGGACGUAUACGGUGUGACGCCUGCCCGGUGCCGGAAGGUUAAUUGAUGGGGUCAGCGCAAGCGAAGCUCUUGAUCGAAGCCCCGGUAAACGGCGGCCGUAACUAUAACGGUCCUAAGGUAGCGAAAUUCCUUGUCGGGUAAGUUCCGACCUGCACGAAUGGCGUAAUGAUGGCCAGGCUGUCUCCACCCGAGACUCAGUGAAAUUGAACUCGCUGUGAAGAUGCAGUGUACCCGCGGCAAGACGGAAAGACCCCGUGAACCUUUACUAUAGCUUGACACUGAACAUUGAGCCUUGAUGUGUAGGAUAGGUGGGAGGCUUUGAAGUGUGGACGCCAGUCUGCAUGGAGCCGACCUUGAAAUACCACCCUUUAAUGUUUGAUGUUCUAACGUGGACCCGUAAUCCGGGUUGCGGACAGUGUCUGGUGGGUAGUUUGACUGGGGCGGUCUCCUCCUAAAGAGUAACGGAGGAGCACGAAGGUUGGCUAAUCCUGGUCGGACAUCAGGAGGUUAGUGCAAUGGCAUAAGCCAGCUUGACUGCGAGCGUGACGGCGCGAGCAGGUGCGAAAGCAGGUCAUAGUGAUCCGGUGGUUCUGAAUGGAAGGGCCAUCGCUCAACGGAUAAAAGGUACUCCGGGGAUAACAGGCUGAUACCGCCCAAGAGUUCAUAUCGACGGCGGUGUUUGGCACCUCGAUGUCGGCUCAUCACAUCCUGGGGCUGAAGUAGGUCCCAAGGGUAUGGCUGUUCGCCAUUUAAAGUGGUACGCGAGCUGGGUUUAGAACGUCGUGAGACAGUUCGGUCCCUAUCUGCCGUGGGCGCUGGAGAAUUGAGGGGGGCUGCUCCUAGUACGAGAGGACCGGAGUGGACGCAUCACUGGUGUUCGGGUUGUCAUGCCAAUGGCACUGCCCGGUAGCUAAAUGCGGAAGAGAUAAGUGCUGAAAGCAUCUAAGCACGAAACUUGCCCCGAGAUGAGUUCUCCCUGACUCCUUGAGAGUCCUGAAGGAACGUUGAAGACGACGACGUUGAUAGGCCGGGUGUGUAAGCGCAGCGAUGCGUUGAGCUAACCGGUACUAAUGAACCGUGAGG
This 1645-nucleotide ribosomal RNA is filed under the name Escherichia coli. Its description in RNAcentral is "partial 23S ribosomal RNA". It matches the Rfam family "Bacterial large subunit ribosomal RNA", at positions 1291 to 2915 of the family's 2925-position model. Lineage: Bacteria; Pseudomonadati; Pseudomonadota; Gammaproteobacteria; Enterobacterales; Enterobacteriaceae. The record is from RNAcentral.